CCUACGGGUGGCAGCAGUGAGGAAUAUUGGUCAAUGGGCGGAAGCCUGAACCAGCCAAGUCGCGUGAGGGAUUAAGGCCCUGCGGGUCGUAAACCUCUUUUGCCGGGGAGCAGAGGUCUGGACGUGUCCGGGACGGGAGAGUACCCGGAGAAAAAGCAUCGGCUAACUCCGUGCCAGCAGCCGCGGUAAUACGGGGGAUGCGAGCGUUUUCCGGGUUUUUUGGGUUUAAAGGGUGCGUGGGCGGGCAUUUAAGCCGGCGGUAAAUUGCCGGGGCUCAACCCCGGCCUGCCGUCGGAACUGGGUGCCUUGAGUGGGCGAGAAGUAUGCGGAAUGCGUGGUGUAGCGGUGAAAUGCAUAGAUAUCACGCAGAACCCCGAUUGCGAAGGCAGCAUACCGGCGCCCUACUGACGCUGAGGCACGAAAGUGCGGGUAUCGAACAGGAUUAGAUACCCGUGUAGUC
Molecule: ribosomal RNA, 460 nt
Filed under: uncultured bacterium
Lineage: Bacteria
Description: partial 16S ribosomal RNA
Rfam family: Bacterial small subunit ribosomal RNA
Source: RNAcentral